This is a long non-coding RNA of Puntigrus tetrazona (Sumatra barb), 6269 nucleotides long. RefSeq lists it as uncharacterized. The record is from RefSeq and is a predicted model, not a curated record. Lineage: Eukaryota; Metazoa; Chordata; Actinopteri; Cypriniformes; Cyprinidae. The transcript is spliced from 4 exons.
UUUGCAAACACAAUCACGUUCUUAAAUGGAAAUGUGGGGCUUUAAACAAAUCUUACAUCUCUCCUGUUCCAGUCGUCUAAAACUCCGCAAUCAGCCACACGUUCGACUCCAUCUAAAACCACAGCUUUUUUUAGAAGAUUUUUUCGGCUUUUGCGAGGAAAUGUGCCGUUACAUGCGGAGAAUUCGGGCGUCGAACCAAAACGCUUCUCUGUGGACUAAUGGAGCUGAAAGCUGAUGAUGAUGAUGAUGAUGAUGAUAGAGAAAAUAUCAUGCAAGCAUAAUUUUCCUUCUGUGAAAGCAGAUGCAGAGGGGAAAAAGGUGAUACACAUCACAUUACUUAACAUAGCUUUAUAGUUUUAUGAACUUUUAGCUUAAUAAUUAUAGUUGUUAGAUAAUAUAUUCACUUUACGUUUCUUUUUUUUAUUGGGAAUGGUUAGCAAUAAAAGCAAGCACAAGUAGACUAAAUAAAAACAAAUGAAAAUGUAAUUUCUACUUUUAUACAGUGCGUUUAUUUAAAUAUAAAAUUGUACAUUAAAUAAAUGAAUGUAAUAUUUUAAUAUCAUUUUAUAAUUAAUUAUUAGGCGCUCAAAAAUAUAUUUUGCAUUAUAAUUAGUAGGUUUCCGACGACACCUGUUUACUGCUUACAGAGUAUUAUUGUCAGAAAACCCACAGCUGUUUCAUUUCCUCCUUUCCGUCAAGCUCAGCUUGGGAAUGGCAGAAUUUCUAAGAACCUUGUGUAAAGUACUUAAUCAUUAUUCCGUCACUUAAAUAUUUAAUGAUUGAUUUGGCAAACCUUUGUGGGUUUCCUCAUGUAAACUGUCUGUUGCACUGGAGUAUUUUAAGAGCCGUCUCUCUUCCCUGGUGGCAGGAACAGUGAGGCUAAGCCAGCGCAAAGCCGCAGAGUUCCACAUGUCACUGCACACUCAAGAGAGCCCUCACCAAACUUAUUAAUGAGUUGCUUCCUUUUAAUUAGAUAGUAAUUCAUGUUAAUGCAUGCCUAAUGAACCCAAAUCGUUCCCUUCGGUCAUUCCGCGGAGUUCCACUGUGUUCCACUGUGUUUACUCAUUCUGUCUGUUUUUCCCGCUUUUGUGUUUUAUUAGGCUCAAAGGGGCCUGAAAGGACCGAGCGACUUGCUUUAGAGACAUCUGAGAAGUCCAUUGAAAGAGGCAAUAACGGGAUCAAGGGGCGUUCGUGUAUGAAUUCAACCGUAUGAUAUCAAGAAGGCUGCUUUAGCAACAGAUGCUUUGAGAUCACCAUGAUACGCUUUCACUGAACUUCUAGCCACAGGGUUACGUGCCUCAUGUGUGUGUUUGUGCACUGUGGAGACUAGGAGACAGUGAUGGCAAAUAGCAGAGUGACCGGACCGGCUUCAGCCCAAAAGGGGUCACGACCAGACUCCAAGUGCUCCUGUCUCGAUGUCGUCCGUGGUCAAGCACUUGCCAGGACAGACUGAAUUAAAUUAGACUGCUUUUAAUUGAGGAUUGACCGGUCUGAGAGCAGCUGGCGCUUGGGUCAGUCAAGAUAGCAAAGCCCUGAAUCCCCCAGGCCCCAACUGCAAUUUCAGCCCUGCAGGUCCUGGAAUGGACUGGGAGGGAGAGAAGUCCGGAGCAUGCUGGGAAUGCAUGGCUGAUGAUUAGCAAUAAGAGUUUAUAGGAAGGCUUAGAUGAGAUUUGGCUUGUUUGCUUGAGUGGAAAGUGUAACACACACACACACACACACACGUGUGCGCUCUCAGAGCCUGUAGACUCAGCGUAAAUCGGCUUAAGGUUUGCACCUCGCUGAAAAUCUCCUCAAUCGCCCGGUCGACACAAUUAAUCGCUUCAUUAAUUAACAAUCGCUGUGCGAUACACCACCCCGGCUGUGUCUUGGCAAGCGUGCAACUUACAAGCAAGCCCUUCUUUUUCUUCUUACGUUCUCUUGCUUCACUCCUCCCACCCGCUUCGAUACUCCUCUUUAUCUUUUUCUUCUGUACUCCUUUUCUUUUCUUUCUUUAAGCAGCAUUGCAAAAGCCGACUCUGCUGUUUUAGCAGGAACAGACGCACUUUUUUUCUCGGCAAGCAGGUCAGAGCGCUCUGCUAACAUUUGUUAUCUAUAAUCCUGCAGGUCCCCGCGCAAAAUGAGCGUAGUAAACUCUUGCAAAGCCCUAAUCCCUCCGUUUCUUUUAGAUGCGCUUUUUCUCUCUCUCAUGCUCUUUUCUUUUCCAUCUUUGGGGUGGGAAAGCGUUUUUUUAAGAGGAGGCAUCUCUGAUUGUGACACUUAUUUUUGAGCUUUUCUGAAUUACUCAACUUCUUUUACUUAGGAACUCGUCAACCUUUUUUUUGGCAAUUAAAAAGAUUCUGAUUUUUUAACACACUCUGCUGCCGAAGAAUCAUUUCAGGCCGCCACCAGCCGCCCAUGCUUUUGUGACAGGCUUUGUUGAUUUGCUUUUCAGACUCAUGUGUGUGGUUCACAGAAAUCUCUCUCUUUAUUCAUACUGUACGCAUUUACGGUUCAACUGUCGGUGUCAGUUAAUCUGGCUUUUGCGGUUGAUUCAUCUCAGUAUCAUACAAGGAUAUGUGCAAAAAAAGGUUUUUCUUUCGCCAUCACUCUCAAUUAUCUAUGCGCUGAUUUGAUUUGAGUUCGAUACUAUGCAAAUUAUGUAUAUGAAUGCUCUCGUACAGUUCUGCUGCAUUUUGUCUUGGUCAUGCACACCCACACAUGUAGCGAGCACGUCGAGGUGUGUGUGUGUGUGUGUGUGUGUGUGUGUUGUAUGGUGAGUAAUAGCAGGGCUCGGUGGAAGGCUGUAGUGUUGACAGCAUGGUAAACGAUGCAGCCUGCCUACUGCAGCAGCUAGCCUGCUAAUCACAUACACCACAUGAUAAUGAGAACAACCCCUGUCCUCCAACACACACACACACACACACACACACACACACACACACAGUAACCACUAACCACAGCAAACAGACACAAACUCCCUCUCACACACACUGACCCAUACUUCUACAGACAAAUGGAAGACAUAAUGGUAGCCGGAGGCAGUGCACGGUGCAUCUUUCUAUCUCUCUCUCUCACACUCUCGAACCAAGCACAUCUCUAUCGCUUUACUGUCCUUACACACAUACAUACACUGUUCUCUCUUGUACUAACAGCUUUCUGACAGAAGACUCGGACUUGCGUCACACAUACACUGGGAGAGUGACAUGAGAUUUGAUGUGGAAUCAUAGUGGCAAUUAAGAUGGGACUUUAGAGACUUGUAAUUUAAAGUUUUUGGGUGUAUAAGGUGAUGUAUUUUCUCUGAAUAUUGAAAAAGUUUGGGUCUCUUAUGCACUUACCAUGAGUAAUAAAAUUACUCAUUUUAAAUUAAUUAAAUUAUUUUUGAAUGAUUGAAGUAAAUGAACUAUUAAUUUAAAAACAUAAUUAAAAUAUAAUAUAUAUAUAUAUAUAUAUAUAUAUAUGUGUGUGUGUGUGUGUGUGUGUGUGUGUGUGUGUUUAAAAGACAUCUAUUCUGCUCAUGAAGGCUGAUUUUAUUUGAUUAAGAAAUAAAAUAAAAACAAUAUAAAGUAAUACUGGGAAAUGUUAUUACAAUUUCUACCACUUUCUAUUUGAACAUGUCUAAAAAGCUGAAGUUAAUGCUGGCUUUUUUUUUUGCAAAAUAGCAACACACACAAACACACACAUAUAUAUAGGUCAUUUCUAUCUACACACAACAUAUCACAUCAGUCAUAUAUCAGAUUUUGCUGCUAAGGGUAUGAAGAGGACUUGAAAAAGAAAGGAAGCAUGUAAACCCUCAAACUCCCUCAAAUACCCAUGGGUGCAAGAUUUUGAGUCACAGCUACUUUCUUGAUGCAGCUGUGGGCAUAUGAGAGAUUUCAGUUAAAUAUUUCCUCUUUCUCCCUCACAAACUAAAAAAAAACACUUUUAGCUGAGUCCCUAAACAGUUCCUGCUCUGUUAGACCAUCAGGACACUUUGCUGUUGCAUGGGGGUUAGGAACAAGGAACUGUAACACAAACCUAAGCUACUGAAUUUUAAGAUGUUUGAGGACUCUGCCAGGAAGCGAAAAAUAACCGAUCAAUUUGUUUGAGGUCACGUGCAGAUUUACGCACAUUACCUGUGAUUAACACGGGUAUAAAUUAGGAUAUUGUUUCCUGGCAAAUGUGCGCUCUAAGGAAUGAAGAUGUGCAAAUGUGUUCAUUUUAAGUGAGGUGACACUCACAUUCACACUUCUUUGUAUCUUGCAGGGCGUCAUGUGCAGGAUGUAGACUGGAACAGGUGGGGUGUCUGUAGGUCCUUUUCGUACCAUAUGCAAUCAGGAGGCGUGAUGGAGCUGCCGAGGAUCGGUGGGAUGACAGUGUAGAGGACAGAGAGAGUUCAGAGGAAAAGAAAGAAGGAGGGGAGACGGGGGUUUACACUUUGAUGACACUUCAAAAACUGUGUGCCAAGACUAAGCUAUCAGCCCUAUCUGAGAACUAACUAGCAUAUGUGUGCCCUCUUUUACAGUCCCUUGUGAAAACAAAACACAACGCAACAACAAACAAUGCCGGCAACAAACAAGGCCCUCUAUUUCUUCAACCAACAAAACAAGAACGACGGCAGGCUGAAGUAAUCUCAUUAGCCUGUGAGGAAAAACAGCUAUUAACGGCAAUUCAAUACACUGGGUGAAUUCACUGCACUUGGACUUUGGAUCAAUGUGACUGAUAAUUAUCCGACUUGGGUUUAUACGUUCUCAUGCAGCCUAUCCCAGUGCACGGGGCACGUUCCCCAACUUCACUGACCUCCCUAGACAGUAACAAAUGGGCUUGAUGGCUGGGCUGAUGUUUGCGUGUAUAAUGUGGAAGGGAUUCUCUCGAUGCUUAUGCCUAAAAACCAAGCUUCGUCAUCAAUCUCCCCAAUAUCAUGAGUCCUUCUGCUCUUCCAAAGCCCCAAUCCCCAGGCAAUGGCAAUACAGCCUCCGACACGCAGCCCAACCUCUCGCUCUCCUCUUCAUGACGAAUGAGUUUUAAUAAAAGCUGACGGAGUGAUGAAAUUAAAAGUGCGUCCCAUGGCCUCCGAUUGCUCCAGCUGCUCAAUUACAGCGCAUAUCUCAGCACCCUCACCCUCGGUUCGCCAGCAUUGUCUUACAUCACUAUUGGCGUAAUAUUAUUGGACUCUAUCGUCGUCAGGCCCGCUUGUUGAAGUCUAAGUCGCUGCUCUGAUAGACACCCAAAGAGAUGUGCGUCUUCCGCUAACCUAAUAAAAUCUGCCUUCCUCGACCUUAUUAGCUAGUAUUAUGUCGAUUUCCCAUGCUACCUCAUUACGGCAGUGAUGGUGUACCCGAGGAGGUGGGUAAAGAGAACAAGUGUGCAUCUUUCUAAGGGAAAAGUCCCAUAAGCACUAACCGACGCAGUUCUAAUCUGCCCCGUCACCCCGUUCGGAAAAAGCUUCCUUUGUUUUAGAUUAUGAAGCAUCCUUAAUCCUACUCUCAUCCCCCACUUGUACUAAUUUAUAAUCUUUUAGGUCUGAGUUUAAAGGGGAUGGAAGGGGUCACAAUGUUCUGUUACAUUUCUAGUAAGAAGGCAAUGCUUUAUAAAAAACAGCCCAUUUUGGAAAUACAACAAAUCCUCAGAACUACUAAACAUUUUUUAACAUUGGCUCACUGGAAAAAUGUGCCUCCAACUACAUUUUUGCAAAACUCUAAAGACGUGCCAUUACAUAGAAUUUACUGCAUUUUUUAGGAGAAAUGAAGUAAGACACCAACAGCUUUUAUUUCUGUUUCAUCCAAACUGUGCAGGCAGAUUACAUAUAGAUUAAUAAACAUUUAUUUCUGCACAGUUCCAUGCACAAUAUCACUUUAUGAGCUCAAAACACCUUUAUGAUGAUUUUGCAUGAUUCUAAACUAAAACAUAUUCAGUUUGGUAUUACAGCUGCAUUUGUAAAGCUUUUACUAAAGUGAACUUGCUUACCUGACACAGCAUUGCACUUGUAUGUAGAGCACUCUGAAUUCCUAUGAAACAGGUUCAAAUGGUUUCUUCUAAAAAAAAGGAAAAAAUUAUAUAAUGGUAUGUUAUUUUCAUACCUGAUACAGCAUUAACCUUUUAGUGACACUCACCAGAGACUUCCCUUUGAAAGUGUUAUGUACAACAAAUGUUCACAAUUAUGUAUUUCUGAGAAAAUCAACAUACUUUCCUUGUCUUUUUACUGGACAUUUCACAAAAAGUAAGCAAAAUACCAAACAUGAUACCCCAAAAUGUCAUGAACAUAAAAUGUUGUAAAAAAUGUACGUGAUGCUGUAAAAUGAAUACCAUUCUAC